Molecule: ribosomal RNA, 466 nt
Filed under: uncultured organism
Description: partial 16S ribosomal RNA
Rfam family: Bacterial small subunit ribosomal RNA
Source: RNAcentral
CACUCCUGCGGGAGGCAGCAGUGAGGAAUAUUGGACAAUGGGUGGAAGCCUGAUCCAGCCAUCCCGAGUGCAGGAAGACGGCCCUAUGGGUUGUAAACUGCUUUUAUCUGGGGAUAAACCUACUUACGUGUAAGUAGCUGAAGGUACCAGAAGAAUAAGCACCGGCUAACUCCGUGCCAGCAGCCGCGGUAAUACGGAGGGUGCAAGCGUUAUCCGGAUUUAUUGGGUUUAAAGGGUCCGUAGGCGGACUGAUAAGUCAGUGGUGAAAUCCGACAGCUUAACUGUCGAACUGCCAUUGAUACUGUUAGUCUUGAGUAAGGUUGAAGUGGCUGGAAUAAGUAGUGUAGCGGUGAAAUGCAUAGAUAUUACUUAGAACACCAAUUGCGAAGGCAGGUCACUAAGUCUUAACUGACGCUGAUGGACGAAAGCGUGGGGAGCGAACAGGAUUAGAAACCCCAGUAGUCCC